AGUCAGAGAUAGUGUGUAGCAGAUGAGGCUGGGUUUAGGGUGUUACAAAAAACAACAACGACACAAGGAGCUUAUCCUGUUGAAGCAACAACGAGGCUUCAAGAUUCAACACCAGUUUGCGUUCUUGAUUCGACACAAAAUGAGGUAGAGGCUGAAGAGAUCUAUCGACAAAUUCAGUGGAGAAUUGGCAUAAUUGGCAGAGACAGAAUCAAUGGAAUAAGUCAUGAGAUCGGAGCAAGAACAUAGUUCCAGGAUCUAGGCGAAUGAUACCAUGAAAGUGUAUAAGAUAAUAUGGAGAACUAUGACUGGUAAAUGAAUAUUUUUACAUUUGAACUAUAGUGUAUAUUUCAUACUCUUGAUUAUUGUUAAUACACGUAUUUAUACUAAA
Molecule: long non-coding RNA, 388 nt
Organism: Gossypium arboreum
Lineage: Eukaryota; Viridiplantae; Streptophyta; Magnoliopsida; Malvales; Malvaceae
Exons: 3
Source: RefSeq, a predicted model, not a curated record